This 187-nucleotide ribosomal RNA is filed under the name uncultured rumen bacterium. RNAcentral describes it as "partial 16S ribosomal RNA". It matches the Rfam family "Bacterial small subunit ribosomal RNA", at positions 340 to 524 of the family's 1533-position model. The record is from RNAcentral.
UACGGGAGGCAGCAGUGAGGAAUAUUGGUCAAUGGGCGAGAGCCUGAACCAGCCAAGUAGCGUGCAGGAUGACGGCCCUAUGGGUUGUAAACUGCUUUUAUGCGGGGAUAAAGUGCGCCACGUGUGGCGUUUUGUAGGUACCGCAUGAAUAAGGACCGGCUAAUUCCGUGCCAGCAGCCGCGGUAAU